RNAcentral lists this ribosomal RNA (237 nucleotides) under uncultured bacterium. Its description in RNAcentral is "partial 16S ribosomal RNA". It matches the Rfam family "Bacterial small subunit ribosomal RNA", at positions 540 to 776 of the family's 1533-position model. The record is from RNAcentral.
GUUAAUCGGAAUUACUGGGCGUAAAGCGUGCGCAGGCGGUCUGUUAAGACAGAUGUGAAAUCCCCGGGCUUAACCUGGGAACUGCAUUUGUGACUGGCAGGCUAGAGUAUGGCAGAGGGGGGUAGAAUUCCACGUGUAGCAGUGAAAUGCGUAGAGAUGUGGAGGAAUACCGAUGGCGAAGGCAGCCCCCUGGGCCAAUACUGACGCUCAUGCACGAAAGCGUGGGGAGCAAACAGG